Molecule: ribosomal RNA, 615 nt
Filed under: uncultured bacterium
Lineage: Bacteria
Description: bacterial SSU rRNA
Rfam family: Bacterial small subunit ribosomal RNA
Source: RNAcentral
UUAGCUAGUUGGUGAGAUAAGAGCCCACCAAGGCGAUGAUGCGUAGCCGAUCUGAGAGGAUGACCGGCCACAUUGGGACUGAGACACGGCCCAGACUCCUACGGGAGGCAGCAGUAGGGAAUUUUCGGCAAUGGGGGGAACCCUGACCGAGCAACGCCGCGUGAACGAGGAAGGUCUUUGGAUCGCAGAGUUCUGUUGUAAGGGAAUAAACGAUUAUAGAGGGAAUGCUAUAAUUUUGACGGUACCUUACCAGAAAGCCACGGCUAACUACGUGCCAGCAGCCGCGGUAAUACGUAGGUGGCGAGCGUUAUCCGGAAUUAUUGGGCGUAAAGGGUGCGUAGGCGGCUUAAUAAGUUUGUGGUGAAAUCGUGGGGCUCAACUCCAUCAAGCCACAAAAACUGUAAAGCUAGAGGACAGUAGAGGCAAGUGGAAUUCCAUGUGUAGCGGUAAAAUGCGUAGAUAUAUGGAGGAACACCAGUGGCGAAGGCGGCUUGCUGGACUGUAACUGACGCUGAGGCACGAAAGCGUGGGGAGCAAAUAGGAUUAGAUACCCUAGUAGUCCACGCCGUAAACGAUGAAUACUAAGUGUUGGAGAAAUUCAGUGCUGCAGUUAAC